This 482-nucleotide ribosomal RNA is filed under the name uncultured bacterium. RNAcentral's name for it is "partial 16S ribosomal RNA". The record is from RNAcentral.
GUAGUUAGCCGGGGCUUCCUCCUCAAGUACCGUCAUUAUCUUCCUUGAGGGCAGAGUUUUACGACCCGAAGGCCUUCAUCACUCACGCGGCGUUGCUGCAUCAGGCUUUCGCCCAUUGUGCAAUAUUCCCCACUGCUGCCUCCCGUAGGAGUCUGGACCGUGUCUCAGUUCCAGUGUGGCCGAUCAGCCUCUCAGCUCGGCUACCCAUCGUUGACUAGGUGGGCCGUUACCCCGCCUACUAUCUAAUGGGACGCGAGCCCCUCCCUUUGCGGAUUGCUCCUUUGACCUCAUCCCGAUGCCGGGUCGUGGUCUUAUGCGGUAUUAGCAUCUGUUUCCAAAUGUUAUCCCCCUCAAAGGGUCAGGUUGCUCACGCGUUACUCACCCGUUCGCCACUAGGUACAAAACCGAAAUCUUAUACCCCGUUCGACUUGCAUGUGUUAGGCACGCCGCCAGCGUUCGUCCUGAGCACGANACAACACUGA